This 424-nucleotide ribosomal RNA is filed under the name Verrucomicrobiota bacterium. RNAcentral's name for it is "Verrucomicrobia bacterium partial 16S ribosomal RNA". It matches the Rfam family "Bacterial small subunit ribosomal RNA", at positions 355 to 776 of the family's 1533-position model. The record is from RNAcentral. Lineage: Bacteria; Pseudomonadati; Verrucomicrobiota.
UGAGGAAUAUUGGUCAAUGGGCGAGAGCCUGAACCAGCCAAGUAGCGUGCAGGAUGACGGCCCUAUGGGUUUUAAACUGCUUUUAUAUGGGAAUAAAGUGAGGGACGUGUCCCUUAUUGCAUGUACCAUACGAACAAGGACCGGCUAAUUCCGUUCCAGCAGCCGCGGUAUUACGGAAGGUCCAGGCGUUAUCCGGAUUUAAUGGGUUUAAAGGGAGCGUAGGCUGUUUGUUAAGCGUGUUGUGAAAUGUAAGAGCUCAACUUUUAGAUUGCAGCGCGAACUGGCAGACUUGAGUGCGCACAACGUAGGCGGAAUUCAUGGUGUAUCGGUGAAAUGCUUAGAUAUCAUGACGAACUCCGAUUGCGAAGGCAGCUUACGGGAGCGCAACUGACGCUAAAGCUCGAAGGUGCGGGUAUCGAACAGG